UNGNACUACNNUGCGNGAGCGGAACGAAAACAACAACACCUAAAAUGUGGAAUAUAGCAUAUAGUCGACAAGAGAAAUCUACGAAAAACAAACAAAACUUUCAACAACGGAUCUCUUGGUUCUCGCAUCGAUGAAGAGCGCAGCGAAAUGCGAUACCUAGUGUGAAUUGCAGCCAUCGUGAAUCAUCGAGUUCUUGAACGCACAUUGCGCCCCUCGGCAUUCCGGGGGGCAUGCCUGUUUGAGCGUCGUUUCCAUCUUGCGCGUGCGCAGAGUUGGGGGAGCGGAGCGGACGACGUGUAAAGAGCGUCGGAGCUGCGACUCGCCUGAAAGGGAGCGAAGCUGGCCGAGCGAACUAAACUUUUUUUCAGGGACGCUUGGCGGCCGAGAGCGAGUGUUGCGAGACAACAAAAAGCUCGACCUCAAAUCAGGUAGGAAUACCCGCUGAACUUAAGCAUAUCAAUAAGCGGAGGAAAUCUGUAAGCGGAGGAAAGUGAAUGUUGUCGUUAGGUCUACGCGCGGCGAAUGGUGUAUCGAGUUAACACACGAUGUCUCUAACUGCGUCCAGGAGUCCUACGAACGAUGUAACAAUAACUGAAACCAUUUUCGACGUUUGCCUUAGUUGCAAGCUCGGAACAUGACCCUCAGAUCAGGUGGGGGCAAACCCGCUGAGUUUAAGCAUAUCAAUAAAGCGGAAGGAUA
Molecule: ribosomal RNA, 699 nt
Filed under: Trichoderma viride
Lineage: Eukaryota; Fungi; Ascomycota; Sordariomycetes; Hypocreales; Hypocreaceae
Description: eukaryotic LSU rRNA
Rfam family: 5.8S ribosomal RNA (bases 96-248)
Source: RNAcentral